CCUGCGGGUUGUAAAGCACUUUUAGUGGGACAAAAGCUACGGAUUAAUACUCGUGUGGUCUUGAUUUAACCCAAAGAAAAAGCACCGGCCAACUCUGUGC
This 100-nucleotide ribosomal RNA is filed under the name uncultured bacterium. RNAcentral describes it as "partial 16S ribosomal RNA". The record is from RNAcentral.